UUUUUAAUUGAGAUCUUGUAUGAAUGAUUGGACAAGAGAAAUACUGUCUUUGUAUUAAAACUUGAAUUUAACUUUUAAGUGAAAAGGCUUAAAUACACUAAAGGGACGAUAAGACCCUAUAAAACUUUACAUUUAUGUUAAAUUUUAUGGAAUUUGAAGAUUAUAAUUAUUAGAUUUAAUUUUUUGUUAUGUUGGGGAGACAAAAGCUAUAAUUAUAUAUAAUAACUGCUUUUAAGGGAAACAAAAAUAAGUGGAAAGAUUAGAGAUCCUUUAUUAAGAUUAUAAGAUUAAGUUACUUUAGGGAUAACAGCGUUAUUUUUUUUGAGAGUUCAUAUUGAAAAAAAAGAUUGCGACCUCGAUGUUGAAUUAAAAUAUCUUUAUAAUGCAGGUGUUAUAAAAGAAGGUCUGUUCGACCUUUAAUUUU
This 424-nucleotide ribosomal RNA is filed under the name Potamonautes sidneyi. Its description in RNAcentral is "partial large subunit ribosomal RNA". The stretch from base 303 to 424 matches the Rfam family "Bacterial large subunit ribosomal RNA", at positions 2473 to 2596 of the family's 2925-position model. The record is from RNAcentral. Lineage: Eukaryota; Metazoa; Arthropoda; Malacostraca; Decapoda; Potamonautidae.